Molecule: long non-coding RNA, 961 nt
Organism: Cataglyphis hispanica
Lineage: Eukaryota; Metazoa; Arthropoda; Insecta; Hymenoptera; Formicidae
Exons: 4
Source: RefSeq, a predicted model, not a curated record
CUUUAUAACAGAAGGCAGUUACGAGUGAGAAGUGACAAGUGACACCAACUAAGUCGUUUGUUAACAAAGAGACGAGUGCCAAAAAAGAAAUAGACGGCCAAAGCAUCCAAGUCGAUUAAGAGCUACUUGUGUGCAUCAAGUGUGAACAAAACCAUCGCGAGAUGAUGAAACCGGCGCGCCUCCAUUAGACACAUUUCUGAAAUCCGUCCAAAUCGUUUUGCGCCGCACACUAGCGACUAAUCGUCGUUGACGAUGUCCAUUACCCAGAAGUUACGAUAUUGUGUUAUGUCAAAGCAAAAAAGAGGAAUAUUUCACGCGAUCGAUAAGAUUUACCAUAAAACACAUAGCCCGACAUAGUCGAUUCAUAUAUCACGCAUCUCCGCAUUACAAUAUUCAUGUGACAUAUUUGUGUAUGAUGUAAUUAUAUAACAUGAGAAUGUAUUAAUUUGCAGAUAUUUAGAAGAUAAAUUCUACGAGGGAAUUACUUUGUGGUUAGCGACAGUAGUGGAAGACAAGUGAUAACAAUCGUGAUGACAAUCACCAAAAUCUUUGUUAAUAUAAUAGAUAAAAAAGACUAAUCUAAAACGAGUGCUAAAAGGAGAGUGAGAAAAUUACAUAUUUAUAUUUUGUAUGUUUCUACAUGUUAUUUCUUAUAAUAUAUAGAAUGCUAAGAAAAAAAGGAUUAAAAAUUCAUAAAGCAGUAGCACAGAAAAAAGAGUAAUUUAAAUAGUCGAUGGAAAAUGAUAGUAAAAAUAAUUAGAAAAAAUAAUGAAGGAAAAAAAAGAUAAAUAAAAUCAAGAGACAAAAAAGUAGUAAAAUAUAUUUUUGCAAGAGCUUUGUGCAUGGAAAAAUAAUAUAGAAAAACAAGAUGUAUGCGAUGUUUUAGCAUUAUGUGUAUUUAAUUUCGUCAAAAUGAUAAAAUUUAAGUAAUCUUUAAUUCCCACCCUUUUUUCACGCUCUU